AACGAACGCUGGCGGCAGGCUUAACACAUGCAAGUCGAACGCCCCGCAAGGGGAGUGGCAGACGGGUGAGUAACGCGUGGGAAUCUACCCAUCUCUGCGGAAUAGCUCUGGGAAACUGGAAUUAAUACCGCAUACGCCCUACGGGGGAAGGAUUUAUCGGGGAUGGAUGAGCCCGCGUUGGAUUAGCUAGUUGGUGGGGUAAAGGCCUACCAAGGCGACGAUCCAUAGCUGGUCUGAGAGGGUGAUCAGCCACAUUGGGACUGAGACACGGCCCAAACUCCUACGGGAGGCAGCAGUGGGGAAUAUUGGACAAUGGGCGCAAGCCUGAUCCAGCCAUGCCGCGUGAGUGAUGAAGGCCUUAGGGUUGUAAAGCUCUUUCACCGAUGAAGAUAAUGACGGUAGUCGGAGAAGAAGCCCCGGCUAACUUCGUGCCAGCCGCCGCGGUAA
This 447-nucleotide ribosomal RNA is filed under the name uncultured bacterium. RNAcentral describes it as "partial 16S ribosomal RNA". It matches the Rfam family "Bacterial small subunit ribosomal RNA", at positions 29 to 523 of the family's 1533-position model. The record is from RNAcentral.